CCUCCUGGGAAAUGUAGUCCAUCCCCUCAAGCCCGCGCCCUUGCUGGGAAGCGGAAUGUGUGGAAAUUCCCUUCGGAAUAGCCGUUCUUUGAUGUUUGGUCUUAGUGUGCUUUCAGACUUAAUCGACAGGAGAGGCCAUUUUGUCCGUGUAACAGAAACUAGCCAACAAGCUCUAAGCGAUGGCCAGGCCUUGGAAAGGCUGGUUACUUGGCUGAAUUGCCUUGUUGAGGUGUAGGGUUUGACAGGCUUCAGUUACCUCAGACACAGGGGAGGUUAGCAAGGCUUGGAAAGAAGGAUGUACCACUGGUGGUGGACACAAAGAUUGCAGGAUUUAUGGGCACAAGGACAUUUGGCAGAACCCCCAAGGAAAGGAACAAACAGAUAAAGCCAAUGCAGAAACUGUGCUGAAUCAGGUCUGGUGGGGUAAAAGGUAAUUCCAGUAAGGCGACUCACGGCCACCAAUUUAAGAAACCACUGACUGAAAAGAAAGACUGAGCAUGCAGACUAAUUAGCAUGAGAAGCAAGAGGACCAUUAACUGACAGCAAACAGAAUACUAAUUAUUAUGAAAACUAGAUAACUUGUAGUCAAUGAAUAUUAAUUUCUUUGUUUACUAAUAUAUAUAAAUAGGGGGAAAUUUUUGUCUUCUUGGUGGUGAGGGUGGUUUAUAAAAAAGAGGGAGAGAGACUUUCUGCACAGACAGAUAGUGACAGGAUAAGGGGGGCAGUUUUAAACUAAAAAAGGGAAGAGUAGAUAUUUGGAAUAAAUUCUUUGCUGUGAAGGCAGUGAGGCCUUUAUACAGAUUGCCCAAAGAAGCUGGGAACACCCUAUCCCUGGAAAUGUUCAAGGCCAGGUUUGGACAGGGCUCAGAGCAGCCUGGUCCAGUGGAAGCUGUCCCUGCUCAUGGCAGGGAGGUUGGAACUAGAUGGGUUGGAAAAUAUAAUAGUUCAGGUUAUUUCUAAUGCAAAUGAUUCUGAGAUUAAUCUUCGAUCAGAGUAUCAGUAGGGUGCUGCUCAUCAGGAGCAGAAGUUUCCAUGAACUCAGAUAUGUGGAGACCCAGAGGAGCACAGCUGAAGCAGGAAGGAGGUGUUAUUCCUGACACUAGCAUCAGACUCUGGAGUGUUUUUUGGCAAAUAACUGGCUCUGUUCAUUGUCAGGAGAAACUAAAUGCAGGCCUUAAUUAUGCAGUGACUGAAUCCACAUGAAGGAUUUUGGCUGUUUAUUUAUUGCCUGUGUGACACACUGGUUAUUAACUCAGAGGCCAUGAGGAGGUGGUUACAGGCCAGUGAUUUUGCCUGUUUUCCCCGUAUUUGUUGGCAGGAGCAGCAAGUGCCAGUGGCCAGGAGGAGCAGCCAACAGAGAGAGGUGACCCUGAAAAGGUGUGGAGUCCUCUGGGUGACCUGGCCCUGGCUGUUUAGGGGGCUGCUCCAAGGCCUCAUGUGUUGAUUGGUGUAGCACGUAGCCAGGCAAAUAUUCUUACGUAACGCUAGGCCUGCUGUUUUUGCCAUUUAUGCCUUUUUCUCAUGACCAUCUGACUGUGCUUUUGUUAACAAAGCUUACACCUUUAAAAGGGACACAGUAAUGUGCCAAAGGUUGAACCAUGUGUCUGCAACAUCAGCUUCAUUACUCAAGCUACGCAACAGGUACACCAAGAUGCCUUCAUGCAUGCUUUUUGUUAAUUAUUGUGGAAAACACCACUGUAAAAGUGGCUUGUGAGGACAGACUUUGCACAGCCCUGACUCAAUGUGUGCAACCCUAAUACAGUGUUUACCAGCCUCCUCUCACCAGAAAUGGUUCUCCAGAGUCAUGAGGUGCUUCUGAAGGUAUUGUUGUUUAUCUGUGGCCUGACUCCCCAGCGCUGCUUGCUGUCUACAUCUCCCAAGUGUUGUAGUGUCUGCCAGACUUCUGUUGGCAGGAUUAACCUCUCCAGCUGUGCCACUACUGGGUUAUCUCCCUUUGAUACCCUCAGAGUUUCCCAAACUCACCAGCUGCAACACUUUGUGACUCCAUCUUU
Taeniopygia guttata (zebra finch) is the source of this 2012-nucleotide long non-coding RNA. NCBI's taxonomy places the organism in Eukaryota, Metazoa, Chordata, Aves, Passeriformes, Estrildidae. The record is from Ensembl.